UGUAAAACGAAUUUAAGUUCUACCUCAGCCCCUUCCCCAAGACAAACCAACCAAGUCCCCAUGCAAUGGGCUAAGAGCUAUUUAAAGGGGGUACAGCCCCUUUAAAAAAGGAUACAACCUCUACCAGUGGAUAACCCCACCCCUACCCAACCCCCGUGGGCCUUAAAGCAGCCACCCUUAAAGAACGCGUCAAAGCUCCACAAACCUAAAAAUCCAAAAACAACGUAAAUCCCUGAACCCAUAACAGGUCAACCUACAACAGUAGAUGAAUCAAUGCUAAAACGAGUAACCAGGACACCAAGUCCCCUAAAGCGCCAACUUGAACACCAUUAACAGCACAACCACAAUACCAAACCCCCGACUAAACAUUGAACACACCCUGUCAGACCAACCCAGGGGCGCACACUAGGAUGAUUAAAAUCUGCAGAAGGAACUCGGCAAGCCUAAGACCCGACUGUUUACCAAAAACAUAGCCUUCAGCCGAACAAGUAUUGAAGGUGACGCCUGCCCAGUGACACACGUUUAACGGGCGCG
This 534-nucleotide ribosomal RNA is filed under the name Amazona farinosa farinosa. RNAcentral describes it as "partial 16S ribosomal RNA". Lineage: Eukaryota; Metazoa; Chordata; Aves; Psittaciformes; Psittacidae. The record is from RNAcentral.